Schistosoma margrebowiei is the source of this 46-nucleotide non-coding RNA. The record is from Rfam. NCBI's taxonomy places the organism in Eukaryota, Metazoa, Platyhelminthes, Trematoda, Strigeidida, Schistosomatidae.
GCACUGUGGAGGAGUCCCAUACCAGGACGAAACGGCCGUCCAGUGC